GUCAAAGAGCAAGGUAGCUUCACUCCCUGUGACAAUCUAUGGGACUAAGGCAGAGAUAGAAUAGCUUAUUUUGUCUCGGCUUGUCUCAGGCACGUGGUUAAAACCCUCCAGGUGCCUUAGCUUUUCUGUUCUGUGAAAGCAUCUUUGUUAGCUCUGCUAGAGAGAGACUGUUAAAAGAUGGCCUUAACUUCUUGCCUCCGUUACCAGAUCUCAAGGAGCACAUUCCAGGGGCUUCAAUCUGAUUUGGGUGCAUUCUUUUUUCUCAGGAAAUGCUAGUGGCUUUUGUAGGGCUGCUGGAAGAGCAGAGGUCCUGUUGGAGUAAGGGAAAGCUGCCCAACUUCAAGCCUUUACUGGAAAGUUGCCCUGCAGCUAACUGAAAAACAUGGCUUCAAUGUGAGAAGUAACUGAAGCACACAUUGGCAGUGGGUGGCAGAAGGGCCCAAGGUUUCAAAAGCAAACUGCAUGGGACCGCUGAAGAAACAGUCCAUUGAAAACCCACCUCAUGUAAGUUUUAGGCAAAGGUGGUCUCCAGCCCUUUCAAGCAGAAUUUCAAGUUGCUGAGCUCAUCCUCCAGCACCACUUGGUACUACUCAGGGUAGCACUUCCAUUGCCAGGAUCCAGCUCAGUAGAACAGUCCAUCUUUGCUCUCAUCAUUUGGCCCAAGCACACCUCAGCACCCAGCAAGUUCCCUCAUUCCUACUGAAGAGAUGGGAAUCCAGUGUUCAUCCUGAGUACCCUGCUACACCUUCUGCUUCCGUUUCCAUUUGCAAGAAGUGUUUGCUGCUUCUGUGGAAUUUAUUAAAGAUUUCUUUAAUAAAACUACUGUUG
RNAcentral lists this long non-coding RNA (828 nucleotides) under Gallus gallus (chicken). The record is from RNAcentral. Lineage: Eukaryota; Metazoa; Chordata; Aves; Galliformes; Phasianidae.